UGGGGAAUAUUGCACAAUGGGCGGAAGCCUGAUGCAGCGACGCCGCGUGGGGGAUGACGGCCUUCGGGUUGUAAACUCCUUUCGACAGGGACGAAGCUUUUUGUUGACGGUACCUGUAUAAGAAGCACCGGCUAACUACGUGCCAGCAGCCGCGGUAAUACGUAGGGUGCGAGCGUUGUCCGGAAUUACUGGGCGUAAAGAGCUCGUAGGUGGUUUGUCGCGUCGUCUGUGAAAUUCCGGGGCUUAACUUCGGGCGUGCAGGCGAUACGGGCAUAACUUGAGUGCUGUAGGGGAGACUGGAAUUCCUGGUGUAGCGGUGAAAUGCGCAGAUAUCAGGAGGAACACCGAUGGCGAAGGCAGGUCUCUGGGCAGUUACUGACGCUGAGGAGCGAAAGCAUGGGUAGCAAACAGGAUUAGAUACCCUGGUA
This 428-nucleotide ribosomal RNA is filed under the name uncultured bacterium. Its description in RNAcentral is "bacterial SSU rRNA". It matches the Rfam family "Bacterial small subunit ribosomal RNA", at positions 355 to 792 of the family's 1533-position model. The record is from RNAcentral.